AAGAAGUGAAAAAAAAAAAGACCGAAGUACCUAAGAGGUUUAAAUUUGAAGCCCACUGGGAUAACAUUUCAGGGUUAUCGAAUUGUAUACACAUACUUCUCCAGUAUGCACUUAAAGUUAGUAAAUCAUAUAUAGUCGAUAAAACUUACUUUAUCGUGAAUGGACAUUUACCCAGUUGUAUUUUAAGAUCUUUUUCUUUGUAAGAAUCACCAUUUUGACCAACAACUUUUUCAUUAACCUUGGUUCCAAACUUCGUAUCGAGGUCCUUUACUUCAAACUCGCAUGGGCCACCGGUAAACUGUGCACAUAUUAGCUGGCAUUGAUUUAAAAUAUAAGAAAGAUAAACAUAUAAUAGAAAUGAAAAAUGAAAAGCUCAAUAUUUCCAUUUAAUUGGAUACGUACGUAGUCUUUCUCACUUGGGGUCAAAAUCGUAAAACGAGCAUGGCGUUUACUAAUUGAUUUAGAAAUCACUUGAAUGUGGGACGAAUCGUCUGCAAUAUUAGAAAAUUAACAAAAAUAAGAAACUUACCAGA
This is a non-coding RNA of Schizosaccharomyces pombe (fission yeast), 533 nucleotides long. NCBI's taxonomy places the organism in Eukaryota, Fungi, Ascomycota, Schizosaccharomycetes, Schizosaccharomycetales, Schizosaccharomycetaceae. The record is from the annotation of a GenBank genome assembly.